UCCCAGGUGUCUCAGUGGUAAAGAAUCUGCCUGUCAGUGCAGGAGACCCAGGUUCUAUCCCUGGGUUGGGCA
This 72-nucleotide transfer RNA is filed under the name Bos taurus (domestic cattle). It matches the Rfam family "tRNA". From Rfam's summary of the family: Transfer RNA (tRNA) molecules are approximately 80 nucleotides in length. Their secondary structure includes four short double-helical elements and three loops (D, anti-codon, and T loops). Further hydrogen bonds mediate the characteristic L-shaped molecular structure. tRNAs have two regions of fundamental functional importance: the anti-codon, which is responsible for specific mRNA codon recognition, and the 3' end, to which the tRNAs corresponding amino acid is attached (by aminoacyl-tRNA synthetases). tRNAs cope with the degeneracy of the genetic code in two manners: having more than one tRNA (with a specific anti-codon) for a particular amino acid; and 'wobble' base-pairing, i.e. permitting non-standard base-pairing at the 3rd anti-codon position. RNAcentral also lists the same sequence under 3 other names. Lineage: Eukaryota; Metazoa; Chordata; Mammalia; Artiodactyla; Bovidae. The record is from Rfam by way of RNAcentral.